RNAcentral lists this ribosomal RNA (507 nucleotides) under uncultured bacterium. RNAcentral describes it as "partial 16S ribosomal RNA". It matches the Rfam family "Bacterial small subunit ribosomal RNA", at positions 28 to 507 of the family's 1533-position model. The record is from RNAcentral.
GACGAACGCUGGCGGCGUGCCUAAUACAUGCCAGUCGAACGCAUUUUCUUUCACCGUAGCUUGCUACACCGAAAGAAAAUGAGUGGCGAACGGGUGAGUAACACGUGGGUAACCUGCCCAUCAGCGGGGGAUAACACUUGGAAACAGGUGCUAAUACCGCAUAAUUCCAUUUACCGCAUGGUAGAUGGGUGAAAGGCGCUUUUGCGUCACUGAUGGAUGGACCCGCGGUGCAUUAGCUAGUUGGUGGGGUAACGGCCUACCAAGGCUGCGAUGCAUAGCCGACCUGAGAGGGUGAUCGGCCACACUGGGACUGAGACACGGCCCAGACUCCUACGGGAGGCAGCAGUAGGGAAUCUUCGGCAAUGGACGCAAGUCUGACCGAGCAACGCCGCGUGAGUGAAGAAGGUUUUCGGAUCGUAAAACUCUGUUGUUAGAGAAGAACAAGGAUGAGAGUGGAAAGUUCAUCCCUUGACGGUAUCUAACCAGAAAGCCACGGCUAACUACGUG